This is a long non-coding RNA of Cannabis sativa, 2572 nucleotides long. RefSeq lists it as uncharacterized. Lineage: Eukaryota; Viridiplantae; Streptophyta; Magnoliopsida; Rosales; Cannabaceae. The record is from RefSeq and is a predicted model, not a curated record. The transcript is spliced from 2 exons.
UACUUAUUCUUAAAUCAACUAACCCAGCACCAACCAAAAUUAUCACAUAAAAGGGGUCAUUAUUUGAAACUCAAUCAACCAUAAACCUUGCAAAAUUAUUCUCCAACAAAAAACCCUAGAAAUCUAAAGUAGGAGGAGUCGAGAGUAACACUUACUGUAAUCAGGAGGUGCUUCAUCCACGUUACACUUUCGAAAUGCCAUUUCAUCUCCUUUCCAGCCAACUUUCAAGCUUCGAUCCUUCUUAUUUUUUCUUCUUCACGUCUUCGUCUCGACUCUUUUGCUUUUUGUUUUCGUCUCCUUCUUUUGAUCUUCAUCUCCUUCUUCUUUUCCUCGUCUUCGUCUCCUUCUUCUUUUCUUAUUUUAAUUUCUGAUUUUGGUUUCCUUAAAUUAGUUUAGCUUUGAUUUUAUUUCUAUUUUUUUUUUAGUUUUAAGUUUGGUUUAUGAUUUAUGUUAAUUGGUUUUUUGUAGAGAAGAUUUAUAUUAAGUUUGGUUUAUGAUUUUUAUUUAUUUUAAAUAUUUACUUUUUAUUUUUAUAUUUUCUGACUUGGUAAAUGUGGCCACGUUGGCCAAUAAUUAGAUGAUUUAUCAUUGCCACGUAAGCAAAAUAAGGAGUUAACGAUGCUGGGGAGAUGACACCUUAUAUAUAUGCAAACAAAAUAGUACUUUAGAAGAUUUUUCCACUAAAAUUUAAGGUUAGAUAGUUAUUUGCAAGUGAAUUGAUGGCAUGUUUACUAAUCAGGAUUGGGAGUGAUAGGUAUGGUAAUCACUCCUUUUCAUUUGUUUACUUUAUUUAAUGGUUGGAAUACUCUAAGGGAAAGGCAUAAAAUUAGGAGAAAAUAAUGGGAGAAGUUUUCCUCCCAAUUUCUUCAGCAGCCAUUUUCUUCUUCUUCUUUUUUUUCUGAGAGAGGAACAACCACAUAUCAACAUCAAGGUGAGUUUUAAUUCUUUAUCAUUCAUUAUAUAUAUAUAAUUUUUGAUGAUGCAUGUAUGAUGCAUAUAUUGAUGGUUUAUGUUUAUUAUCAUGUUUUAUUAUUAUUUUAAUUGAAAAACAUCUUCUAUAAUAUAAAUCUGACAUUGACAUAUAUAUUUUGGUACAAUUGAAUAGUCCAACUCAAUCACCAUCACCAUCAUCAUAUUUAAUUUUAAUUUUUAUAUUAUUUAUUAUAUUUUAUAUUAUUUAUGUAUAAUUGAAAAGUCAUAAUCUAUUAUUCUCACAACUUCUCACGCUCGUCAUAUAUUUCAUAAUAUAUAUAUACUAGGUGAUUGUUACGUGUCAAGCCACGUAGUGUUAGUUUUAUUUAAUAUUUUAGUUUUUUAUUUUAAUUAAUAAUUAAAAUAGUAUAAUUAUUUGAACGAUUUGUUUUAUAAAAAUAAAAUAUGUGUCAGUAUAUUUAGUAAGUAAAACAUAGUUGUGUUAUAAUAAUGUAUGUUAUUAAUAGUAAAAUGUACAUUAAUCUUCUAAUUGAAAAAAGUUCUAUUAUCUCAUUUCAUAUCUAAUAAUAGCUACACAACUAUAUAUUUAUAGACUUUCACAUUCUUUGCAAAUUACUAAUAAGCACCAAUAAUAUUUUCAUAUUCUAAUAUUUUUCAACCUUCUCCUCUUGGUGGUAAAAUUAAAAAUAAAACUAAAAAUAAGCACAAACAUAUAAGGUAAAUACUAAUUACAGCCCAUUUCAUUUUUUUUAUUAUUUUUUUAAGCCCAAGCCCAAAAAUCUCUAAGCCAACACAAUCAAUCUUCUUUUAUAUUAUCUUUUCUAGAUAUUUUAUGUAUAUUUUUCUUUUUUAAAAAAUAAAUAAAAAAAUUAUUAAUAUUCUCCCAAGAUAGGUUUGUUAGAGAGAUAUGUGGCUAAGAUGAUUUUUUUAAUUUAAAAAGAGAUUAUUAAUAUUUAAAAGAUUGUUUAUUUAAAAGAUUGUUUAAUUUUUUGGGUUUAAUUAUUGGGUUUAUUUUUUAACGGGAGAUCAAACCUAAUCGUUAAAUUUAACAGAAUAUUCUUUUAUUUUUAAGUAUAUUCUGUUAAACCAAGAAUGUUAAACCAAGAAAUGCCGUUAGAUAGGCACUUUUAAUAUAUAAAGAUAUAUAUAUAUUUCAUAACCUAUAUAUAUAGGUCUUCUCUAUCUACCCAUAUAUAUACAUAUAUGUGGUUCUUCUAAGGUUAUGGAUGAAAUUUCUACAAAUGUUGGUGCCUUAGCAGAUUCUAUAUCUAAUAUUGUCCCGAAGUUUCAAGGAUUAAUUGAUGCAAUAUCUGAUAAGGAUGUAGCUGAGAUGCAAACCAAUUUAUUCACAGAAAUAAGCAAGAUUAAUGGCCUAACUCCAAUGCAGUGUAUUCAAGCAACCAACAUAUUGGCUAAAGAACCUCCAUUGAUGCGAGUGUUUUAUGCAAUAUCAGAUGAGAUGAAACUGAUAUAUAUAUCCUGAAUAUGUUGCAAAAUGAUGCAUAAUUUUAUAAUUGCUAGAUAUUUGGGAUUUUGUUUAUCUUUAUGUUUCACAUUAGAAUAUUUUCAUGUGGAGAUUUUAUUUAUGGUUUGGUCAGAUAUUGUUUAAUUGAAUAAUAUGAGGAUACUUUUUUUAGCA